RNAcentral lists this small nucleolar RNA (213 nucleotides) under Nematocida displodere. Its description in RNAcentral is "Small nucleolar RNA U3". It matches the Rfam family "Small nucleolar RNA U3". Rfam says of the family: Small nucleolar RNAs (snoRNAs) are involved in the processing and modification of rRNA in the nucleolus. There are two main classes of snoRNAs: the box C/D class, and the box H/ACA class. U3 snoRNA is a member of the box C/D class. Lineage: Eukaryota; Fungi; Microsporidia. The record is from Rfam by way of RNAcentral.
UUGAUUAUACUUUACAGAAUCAUUUGUAUAGUAUGUGAGCUACUGAACUUUCUUAAGUCAGCACGCAGCAAAUACUGGAAUGACGAGUAAUAGCUUCAUCUCUUUAAAUAGAAGGUCUAAGAAGGUGUGUGCAAACACAUUCUUCUUUGUUGAUGAUCCCCAUGGCCUCCGGAGUGACAUCUGUUGAGGUGGAUUUGAAGUAUUCCGACCAGU